GGAGUCUUAGGGAUUCCCCCAAAGUGGAUUGGAAACUUUACCUCCUGUGUAACAGAGUUGGGAGGCGGGGCUUAAUGGGAGGUAUGUAGGUCACCAGGGCUCCAGGACCCUUGCAAACAGAUCAAUGCCCAUUGUGAAAGGGCUUGGGCUGCCUGUUCCAUCUCUUGCUGGCUCUCUGUCACCUUAUCUUGCCCUACUACCGUCUGCCACAGGAGCAUGCAGCACCAAGUCCCCCAGCAGAUGCAGGGCCCUCACCUGGGACUUCCUGGCCCCCAGAACUGUAAGAACAAAUUCUUAUGCUUCUAAUGAUCCAGUCUGUGGUGUUCUGUGAUAGCAACGCAAAGCGGAGCACCUCUAGAGAUCACCCACCACUUCAAGUACACGCAGCAAGUAUGUAUGGAGUGUUGCCAGGCAGUGUGCUCAGGUCUUGGUACACGGCAGAGCAGGAAAGAGCUUGAAGGCUCCUUCAGUGUGCAUAGAAGAAGGGAGCCAGACGUCCAUCACAUAGCCACUCAGAGAAUGGAGUGGGGUGGGCCGAGGGCAGAAAUUGACAUCCUAGGUAGGGAAACACAGGCCACUGUGAUAUCUCAACAUAGAAAAGGACAGCAGUGGUCCCAGGAUGUUCUUAUUUAAUGGUUAUAGGUUUUUGCCAGAGGACCAGAAAUCCUUCCCCUGCACCCCCACGUCUCUCUCUCUCUCUUUCUCUCUCUCUCUCUCUCUCUCUCUCUCUCUUUCUCUCUCUCUCUCUCUCUCUCUCUCCCUCUCUCCCUCUCCCUCUCUCUUUCCCUCUCUCUUUCUGUGCAGAGGAUUGAACCCAGCACCUUGCACCUGCUAAGCAAGGACUCUAUCCACAACUCAGCUCCUGAGUCUCCUAUAGAAAAGAUAGAUAUUGAUAACUUGUCUUGCAGCUCAGGGUAAAAUAGCACUUUACAGGAUAUUGAGGAAACGAGAAUUGCCUACAUCAGAGAAUGAGAAGGAGAGGAACUGAAGAUGGAGAUGGUGGCUGCAGCCUGUUCCAGGCCUCUGGACCCUGCUGUUGGGAAAGCCCUUGCUACACCUGGAAGAAAGGAGACCCUUGCAAUAGGGUAUCCUGGACAGAGGAGAGUUCAGGGCACCAGAUGACAGGAGAGGCACCGGGGGCUAAUGUGGAAGCCCUGGAGGACAGGAUUUCCACAGUGGGAAUCUGGGUCACCCCGGGAUUGUUUUAUGCAUGGGAACUCAUGGUUCUCAGUAGGCUCUGGACUUCAUCCUGCAGGCAAAGGGAAGCCAUGGAAGGGUCUGAAAGAGAGGAUAUGGUGUGUUUUGCGGAUGUUCUGCCUCUGGGGCUGGGGUUGAGUGGAGGGGGAUGAUGGGGAAGCCGGGGCGGAAGCCACGCUGGGUAGACGUGCUCCUUACUCCACUCAUCUGUCCUGGGGCAUCCAGUCAUGGGAGUCCCCAGGGUCUGGCUGCACCCCAGAGAGACAGGUACAUUGACCCUGGCUCUCAGGUUGUCCGCUUCUUGGGCCCCAGAUUGCUGACACUCACUGUCGGCGUAAUGGUUGGAGGUCCAAGGAUUCACCUCUUCCGCCGUCUGUGCAGGAUGGUCCAGGAGGUGAGAUGUCCUCUGUGCUUCUCAGGUUGUCUGGCCCCGUGUGUCUGUGAUCUGAGCUCUGCUGAGGGUGGGAGUCCGAUUCCCAGGCUGGGGUCAAGUGCACCCCCCAGGGCUCCUGCUGUGGGCCUGGGCAGAGGGGAGCCCAGCGACUCAGCUCUUCCCAGUCAGAGGCUGGGCUCAGCGACUCCAGUCUCAGGCUGGUGCUAUCCCAACUGGCCUCCAUCUUUCAGGUGAAUGACACAUUUUUUCAGUCUCUCUGUGUUUUGAACGAGAGGCCGACAGAGAGAGGAGGCUGUGAAUUACAAUCACAGUUUCCUGCCGCAGAGCACACAGAUGAGCAUUGAUCUCAGACUCUCUUACUGUCAUCAUUUACUGAGUGCUGGAAAGACUUGCACAUAAUUCAGUGGAGGAAAACAGAAUUCUGGUCGCCAGCCGCAUGUCAACAAAACACCCGGAUAAUAUGGGCGGCUGAAACAGAGAGAAGCAAGCCUCGACCCAGCAUUAGUCUCCAGAUCAACAUUAU
Molecule: long non-coding RNA, 2114 nt
Filed under: Marmota monax (woodchuck)
Lineage: Eukaryota; Metazoa; Chordata; Mammalia; Rodentia; Sciuridae
Source: RNAcentral